CUUUAGUAGUGGCACAAGCUGCUUCUUUCAUUAACCCUGCAGCUGGCAGAUGUUGCCAGCCUCUUUCUGCUAAUUACUAGACCCAAGGAAUAAAUAGUGGAUUACAAUCCUCAAACCACUCUACUCUGGAAAUCAAAUCAACAGGCAGUAAUUUAAAAAAACCAUGCAUCAUCUAGCUCAGUGGUUCCCAAACUUUUUAGGUUCAAGGCGCCCUUAAU
Molecule: non-coding RNA, 218 nt
Organism: Pelobates cultripes (western spadefoot toad)
Lineage: Eukaryota; Metazoa; Chordata; Amphibia; Anura; Pelobatidae
Source: the annotation of a GenBank genome assembly